RNAcentral lists this ribosomal RNA (429 nucleotides) under Pseudomonadota bacterium. RNAcentral's name for it is "Proteobacteria bacterium partial 16S ribosomal RNA". It matches the Rfam family "Bacterial small subunit ribosomal RNA", at positions 355 to 776 of the family's 1533-position model. The record is from RNAcentral. Lineage: Bacteria; Pseudomonadati; Pseudomonadota.
UGGGGAAUAUUGGACAAUGGGCGAAAGCCUGAUCCAGCCAUGCCGCGUGUGUGAAGAAGGUCUUCGGAUUGUAAAGCACUUUAAGUUGGGAGGAAGGGCAGUAAGCGAAUACCUUUCUGUUUUGACGUUACCGACAGAAUAAGCACCGGCUAACUCUGUGCCAGCAGCCGCGGUAAUACAGAGGGUGCAAGCGUUAAUCGUAAUUACUGGGCGUAAAGCGCGCGUAGGUGGUUCGUUAAGUUGAAUGUGAAAGACCCGGGCUCAACCAUGGAACUGCAUCCAAAACUGACGAGCUAGAGUAGGGCAGAGGGUGGUGGAAUUUCCUGUGUGGCGGUGAAAUACGUAGAUAUAGGAAGGAACACCAGUGGCGGAGGCGACCACCUGCGCUCAUACUGACACUGAGGUGCGAAAGCGUGGGGAGCAAACAGA